RNAcentral lists this long non-coding RNA (219 nucleotides) under Elaeis guineensis (African oil palm). Its description in RNAcentral is "long non-coding RNA (EGUI_LNC032712)". The record is from RNAcentral. Lineage: Eukaryota; Viridiplantae; Streptophyta; Magnoliopsida; Arecales; Arecaceae.
UUAGAGAGUAUUAGGAUUCAGCUUCAGUCUAGGUUCUCUACAUCUAUUGAGCUUGCAUUCGUACAAUCCAUUGCUUUUCAUCCUCCUACUUUUUCAUCUCAGACCAGACCCUUCGAUCGAGGACGAGGCUGAUCCUGUGUUAUCUAUCUUGAUUCCAUGCUUGAUGCCCAGUCUCUCUGACUUUAUCAUUUUGUAUUAGAUUACUUAGUUAUAUUUUGU